This 800-nucleotide ribosomal RNA is filed under the name Alcanivorax sp. RNAcentral describes it as "bacterial SSU rRNA". It matches the Rfam family "Bacterial small subunit ribosomal RNA", at positions 68 to 859 of the family's 1533-position model. The record is from RNAcentral. Lineage: Bacteria; Pseudomonadati; Pseudomonadota; Gammaproteobacteria; Oceanospirillales; Alcanivoracaceae.
GGAACGAUGGGAGCUUGCUCCCAGGCGUCGAGCGGCGGACGGGUGAGUAACACGUGGGAAUCUGCCCAUUAGUGGGGGAUAACUCGGGGAAACUCGAGCUAAUACCGCAUAAUCCCUACGGGGGAAAGCAGGGGAUCUUCGGACCUUGCGCUGAUGGAUGAGCCCGCGUCGGAUUAGCUUGUUGGUGGGGUAAUGGCCCACCAAGGCGACGAUCCGUAACUGGUCUGAGAGGAUGGCCAGUCACACCGGGACUGAGACACGGCCCGGACUCCUACGGGAGGCAGCAGUGGGGAAUCUUGGACAAUGGGCGCAAGCCUGAUCCAGCCAUGCCGCGUGUGUGAAGAAGGCCUUCGGGUUGUAAAGCACUUUCAGUAGGGAGGAAGGCUUUGGGCUAAUACCCUGGAGUACUUGACGUUACCUACAGAAGAAGCACCGGCUAAUUUCGUGCCAGCAGCCGCGGUAAUACGAAAGGUGCGAGCGUUAAUCGGAAUUACUGGGCGUAAAGCGCGCGUAGGCGGUGUGUUAAGUCGGAUGUGAAAGCCCAGGGCUCAACCUUGGAAUUGCAUCCGAUACUGGCACGCUAGAGUGCAGUAGAGGGAGGUGGAAUUUCCGGUGUAGCGGUGAAAUGCGUAGAGAUCGGAAGGAACACCAGUGGCGAAAGCGGCCUCCUGGACUGACACUGACGCUGACGUGCGAAAGCGUGGGGAGCAAACAGGAUUACAUACCCUGGUAGUCCACGCCGUAAACGAUGUCUACUAGCCGUUGGGGUCCUUAGUGACUUUGGUGGCGCAUCUAACGCG